UGGAUCCAGACUUUGAUUAUGGCUCAGGAUGAACGCUAGCUACAGGCUUAACACAUGCAAGUCGCGGGGCAGCGUGUCGUCAGCUUGCUGACGAUGGCGGCGACCGGCGCACGGGUGCGUAACGCGUAUCCAACCUUCCCUCUACUCGGGAACAGCCCUCCGAAAGGAGGAUUAAUGCCCGAUGAGGUCCUUCGACGGCAUCCGACGAGGACCAAAGGAGCGAUUCGGUAGGGGAUGGGGAUGCGUCCGAUUAGCUUGACGGCGGGGUAACGGCCCACCGUGGCGACGAUCGGUAGGGGUUCUGAGAGGAAGGUCCCCCACACUGGAACUGAGACACGGUCCAGACUCCUACGGGAGGCAGCAGUGAGGAAUAUUGGUCAAUGGGCGCAAGCCUGAACCAGCCAAGUAGCGUGCAGGACGACGGCCCUAUGGGUUGUAAACUGCUUUUAUGCGGGGAUAAAGUUGGGGACGUGUCCCCAUUUGCAGGUACCGCAUGAAUAAGGACCGGCUAAUUCCGUGCCAGCAGCCGCGGUAAUACGGAAGGUCCGGGCGUUAUCCGGAUUCAUUGGGUUUAAAGGGAGCGUAGGCCGGCCUUUAAGCGUGCCGUGAAAUGUCCCGGCUCAACCGGGGCACUGCGGCGCGAACUGGGGGCCUUGAGUGCGCGGAACGUAUGCGGAAUUCGUGGUGUAGCGGUGAAAUGCUUAGAUAUCACGAAGAACCCCGAUUGCGAAGGCAGCAUACGGCAGCGCUACUGACGCUGAAGCUCGAAGGCGCGGGUAUCGAACAGGAUUAGAUACCCUGGUAGUCCGCGCGGUAAACGAUGGAUGCCCGCUGUCGGCGAUACACGGUCGGCGGCCAAGCGAAAGCGUUAAGCAUCCCACCUGGGGAGUACGCCGGCAACGGUGCAACUCAAAUGAAGUGACGGA
This 926-nucleotide ribosomal RNA is filed under the name uncultured Bacteroidota bacterium. Its description in RNAcentral is "bacterial SSU rRNA". It matches the Rfam family "Bacterial small subunit ribosomal RNA", at positions 1 to 917 of the family's 1533-position model. The record is from RNAcentral. Lineage: Bacteria; Pseudomonadati; Bacteroidota.